GGAGAUAAUUCUGUUCAUCAAGCUUAAAGCGUUGGAAUCCCCAUUCAGCAGGCAUCGCGGAUGCGACUUAUGAAAUAUGUACGCAGUAAUGACACAACACAUAAAACUCAAACAGAAAAUGAAAUAAAUGAAUUUAAUUGGCUCACGCGAAAUACGGUAAAACUAAUCCAUUUUAAUUAAGGUAAAUAAAAUGUAAUUUUCAAAGUGAUGGCGGUCAGGUCAUAAGGGCACCGGGCACCAAAAGGGAUUAUGCAGUCCCGCAAAAAGUGCGAUAAAAAAGCUGAGUAGAAUACUCGUACAAUACGGAACCGAAAUCGAAACUGAAAAUGAAACCGAACGAGCAUAAUUAUUGGCAGACGGGGUAAAGUUAGAUAAACGGAUUUAAAUUGUGGAUGCCGUGUGUGUGCGUUUCUGUGUCCUCUGUAAAAUGCAUAAUUCAUAAUUAUGCACAUGGUAAUGUGUGUAAAUAAAUAAAAUUCCACAUUAAUUUGUUGACAAUUAUGAAUUUAUUAGCUGAACAAAGGCUUGUAGCCAAAUCUGCACUGUAGCUUACAAAGCGAUUAAUUAGCGCUCGGCUGGCAUUUGGACUGUCAACAAAUAUUUAACUACUCAUUAGGCGCCCUCCAGCCAGAGUCAAGCCCGUAGCCAGCGCGGCAUUACGUAUACGCCGCGUAUUACCGGUACUAGCACCUGCCCCUCAUUAGAAUUCAGUUUGUGUCCCGGUGUCUCGUCUCGUCUCAAGUUAACUCCAGCUUCAAUGUUCCGCAACGUGUGCCGCAAACGCAAAAGCAACAGCAAAAGGAAAAGGAAACGCACACGGAAAAUAAGAAAAUUGUGUGUGCUGGGGCAAACUACUUGCUAUUCAGCAAUGGAUGCUGCGAUGGAAACGAAAGGAAGACCGUAAAAAAGUUUUUCAAAUGUGGACAAUGACUACGGUUACCUGUUGUCAGGCUUUUCCAGCACAGACAGAGACAGAGGAAGAGUCGGACAGAGAGGAGGAAGAGGGAGGCACAGGCCAGCAAAAGGAAAAGUUUUGACAGGAAAACGACAAAACGGUGCCAAAUUAUUGGACAAUUAAUAAACACUGCAAAAGGAAUUCAACUAAUGUACGAGCAAUUACAACAAUCAAUCCAAUUAACGUAACACAAAGGGAGUAGAGCAGACAAUAGAAAACCACGAAAGCAAUCCAAUCCUCUCAGUCGGUGGGUCGGUCGGUCGGUCGAUGAUGAUGAAUGAUGCAUUUUCUUUUGAUUUUUCCUAUCCUUUCCUUUCACUUUGUUUUAUUUUUGUAAUGGCUGCAGAGCGAACGAAAAGGGAAGGAAUAAAAACUAUAAGCCAUCAGAACUGCUUGAAUUUUAUUGACGAAAUUGAUAAAGUGGCUGUAGCAAAAUCGAAAGGAAUUGUAAAUGCAAGGCGAUCGAUCGAUGGACCAAAAAAGGGUAAGGGCUGACUGAGGAAGGACAGGGACUGGGGCUGGGCAAUCAACGAGCACAAGUACAAGGAUUUUGGGAUUUAUUUUCGACAUUUUACCUUCCCCCGUUUCGACUUAUGUUUUGCAUGCAUAAAAAUGUGAAAAAAUGCGCUUGACUGUGGACAGGAGAGAGCGCUC
Drosophila pseudoobscura is the source of this 1609-nucleotide long non-coding RNA. RefSeq lists it as uncharacterized. The record is from RefSeq and is a predicted model, not a curated record. The transcript has 3 exons. Lineage: Eukaryota; Metazoa; Arthropoda; Insecta; Diptera; Drosophilidae.